RNAcentral lists this long non-coding RNA (674 nucleotides) under Rattus norvegicus (Norway rat). Its description in RNAcentral is "long non-coding RNA NONRATT032660". Lineage: Eukaryota; Metazoa; Chordata; Mammalia; Rodentia; Muridae. The record is from RNAcentral.
UAAGAAUGUCAACUGUGGUGUUUUGUUCUGACAACUUGAUUGGAUUGAGAAAACACCUCUGGGCAUGUCUGUUUGGGAUGUUCCCAGAGAGGACUCUCUAUCAUAUAGGCUGAGGGUCUUUGAUAGAAUGCAGGGAGCUACUGAGUCUUCCUGUCAGUGGUCACGAUGGGAGCUCGUAUGGCCGCCACACUAUUCCCGCCAGAACAUCUGAUAUCCGCCUGGAUCAAGGGCUGAAACAAAACCCUCUUUCCCCCAAAAGAAUCUCCUCAGGUGUUUCCUCACAGCCAUCAAGAGUGGACAUUGAAGGGUCUUUCACCAAAUGAGUCAGGACUAAGUAAUGCUGACAAGGUCAUCCCACCUGAUACUUCUCCUGCACUCGUCCAUCUCCCUAACACACUCGUCUGCUCUGACUUCAUCCAUCAAACUCCUACCUAUCCUUCAAAACCCAGAUCCAACACAGUCUCCGUAAUAAACUUUCCGUGGGACUUCAACAAUCAACUGUUCUCUCCUACGUUCUCACAGGAGCUGAGACUCAUGCUGUUGGGUUGUCAGUGUCCUUGAAAAGUGAGGUGCUUUCCCUUAACGCUGGGGCCUGAGGCAGAAAGAUCAAGAGGCUAUGCUUAGCCUGGGCUUUUAUAUUGAGACCUUGUCUAAAUAGCAGAAAACAAACAAAC